UCCUGCCCCCUGUCCUACCUGCCCCAUCUCUGUGUCACCUCCGCUGUCCCCCUCAUGCCACCCCCAGGAGACCCUCUGCGGGCACCAGCCCCUCGUCAGCUCCCACCAGCUCUCGGAGAAACUCCAGCGACAGCAAAGAGGAAAGAGCCAACAGCAGCAAGGCCAAACCGGAGACACCACGGACCCCCACCACCCCCACCUUCUCGCCCAGCCCCUGCCUCCUGGCCCCCUGCUAUCUCACGGGGGACUCGGUGCGGGACAAGUGCAUCGAGAUGCUGACAGCUGCCCUCCGCAUGGAUGAUGACUACAAGGAAUUCGGUGUCAACUGCGAAAAGAUGGCAUCAGAGAUUGAAGACCAUAUCCUUUGGGGGGGCUGCGGGUCCCCAGGCUCCAUCUGCUCGGGGACACACAACGUGGGUUUAAGACUGGUGGUGAG
RNAcentral lists this long non-coding RNA (436 nucleotides) under Athene cunicularia (burrowing owl). Its description in RNAcentral is "lncRNA (ENSACUG00000000778.1)". The record is from RNAcentral. Lineage: Eukaryota; Metazoa; Chordata; Aves; Strigiformes; Strigidae.